UUUUUCACAAUCGCCGCAUUGCCGUGGGAUGCGGCCAUGGGGCAGAAGACUAGCUUUCAGCAGCUCAGAGAGUAAAGGAUGAAAUUACAGGUAUCUAGCCUCUCCUGGGACCUUGAAUUACUGUUCACAGCCCGGCAUUUGAUUCAGAUUUCCAGGCUGAGAAGAUGGGCUCAUUAAGUCCCAGAAAUCCCAAGCAGAAGGAGUUACAUGGUGGAAACCUCCCAUCGCUGUUCCUGUCCAUCCAUUUCUCCCGUCUGCUGUCAUGAGGCUUAUCCAUGCUGAAAUCCGCCUCUCCAUCACUUUCCCACUUUAGAGUAUACAGCGCUGUGGAGCUGGUGGGAGUUGCCUCAGCUUCCUGACUGGCUCACCAAUUGUGGGGCUGCACCCCGCAGGCCUGCAAGCCUUGUGAUUGCCCAGCCUCAGGACUGAAAUGAGAGCCCGGGGACAGUGACAGCGACACCAGUGGCUUAACAGAUGGGGGAUCUUACAUGUCUGAAGCAAAGGGUCCUGGAUCGCAUCUCCACCACGCACGGCCAACCGCAGACAGAACGCGACAGCCAACUUCCCUGCUUAAGAAAGCAGGAGACUCCCAUUUAUGAGGGGAAUUGACCUCAGCCUGGCUCAUCAGUUACCAGGGAAACCGGUCACACAGGCAGUUCCUGAUUAAGCCCUAUAAUUAAGAGGGUUGGCUGGCGAUGCGAGGGAAGCAGGGCCUGCGAGCAGGGAUGGGCAGAGAGCAAGAGCACAGCCACCUGGAGUGGCCUGACCAUAUACCUGGCAGCCACUAAUCUCCUUUCUCUGUGGAUCCGCCUACUCUCAACACUGCAUAUAAAUGGAACUAUGCAUUAGGUGGCCUUUUGUGUCUGGCCUCUUUCACUUAGCACAAUGUUUAAAUUCAUGUCUUAUGUAUCCAACCAUAUUCAAAUAAAGUGGGUUCUGGC
RNAcentral lists this long non-coding RNA (941 nucleotides) under Sus scrofa (pig). RNAcentral's name for it is "lncRNA (ENSSSCG00005018217.1)". The record is from RNAcentral. Lineage: Eukaryota; Metazoa; Chordata; Mammalia; Artiodactyla; Suidae.